GAUAAUGAUGACUAACUGAAU
RNAcentral lists this microRNA (21 nucleotides) under Capra hircus (goat). RNAcentral's name for it is "chi-miR-2335". The record is from miRBase by way of RNAcentral. Lineage: Eukaryota; Metazoa; Chordata; Mammalia; Artiodactyla; Bovidae.